This 427-nucleotide ribosomal RNA is filed under the name uncultured Comamonadaceae bacterium. RNAcentral's name for it is "bacterial SSU rRNA". It matches the Rfam family "Bacterial small subunit ribosomal RNA", at positions 355 to 774 of the family's 1533-position model. The record is from RNAcentral. Lineage: Bacteria; Pseudomonadati; Pseudomonadota; Betaproteobacteria; Burkholderiales; Comamonadaceae.
UGAGGAAUAUUGGUCAAUGGACGAAAGUCUGAACCAGCCAUGCCGCGUGCAGGAUGAAGGCCUUCGGGUUGUAAACUGCUUUUGUACGGAACGAAAAGACUCUGGUUAAUACCUGGGGUCCAUGACGGUACCGUAAGAAUAAGCACCGGCUAACUACGUGCCAGCAGCCGCGGUAAUACGUAGGGUGCAAGCGUUAAUCGGAAUUACUGGGCGUAAAGCGUGCGCAGGCGGUUAUAUAAGACAGAUGUGAAAUCCCCGGGCUCAACCUGGGAACUGCAUUUGUGACUGUAUAGCUAGAGUACGGUAGAGGGGGAUGGAAUUCCGCGUGUAGCAGUGAAAUGCGUAGAUAUGCGGAGGAACACCGAUGGCGAAGGCAAUCCCCUGGACCUGUACUGACGCUCAUGCACGAAAGCGUGGGGAGCAAACA